This is a long non-coding RNA of Apis mellifera (honey bee), 441 nucleotides long. RefSeq lists it as uncharacterized. Lineage: Eukaryota; Metazoa; Arthropoda; Insecta; Hymenoptera; Apidae. The record is from RefSeq and is a predicted model, not a curated record. The transcript has 2 exons.
UGAUUCAAGUAGUAUCAAGGUUAAAAAGCAGCACAGUCGAGGAAUGUUAAUUUCAAUCAGUGUUCUACGUAGAUCUGUAUCGAUAAUAUUCUGCUUAUCUUAGAUGUUAUUUAAUGAUUUUUCAUACAUUAUCUUUUAAUUUCGCUACGUCUAAUAUAAUUUAUAUAAGGGGAACUGUGUUAAACAUAAUAAAAUCUAGCAAUGAAUUAUUUAUUAUCACUCGCAAUUACAAGUUAAGGGUUAUGGAACCAGUUUGAAAAACGAGGAUCGUUUAAUAAUUACUGUUGACGAUGUAAACGAUGUAAAAUUAAAAUUGGAAUUUAAUUACAAUACUGCUUUGCAUUUUUGUAACAUGGGAAAAUAUAAACAUAAUUUUAUCAAUGUGGAAAAUCUCUUGGUCGAAGGAUUAAAUUGAAGGAUUAAAAUUGAGAAAAAAAAAAA